Molecule: ribosomal RNA, 465 nt
Filed under: uncultured bacterium
Lineage: Bacteria
Description: partial 16S ribosomal RNA
Rfam family: Bacterial small subunit ribosomal RNA
Source: RNAcentral
CCUACGGGAGGCAGCAGUGGGGAAUAUUGCGCAAUGGGCGAAAGCCUGACGCAGCGACGCCGCGUGAGGGAUGAAGGUCUUCGGAUCGUAAACCUCUGUCAGCAGGGAAGAAUGGUCACUGUGCUAAUCAGCAGUGAAUUGACGGUACCUGCAAAGGAAGCACCGGCUAACUCCGUGCCAGCAGCCGCGGUAAUACGGAGGGUGCGAGCGUUAAUCGGAAUUACUGGGCGUAAAGCGCUCGUAGGCGGUAUGUCAAGUCAAGGGGGAAAUCCCCGCGCUCAACGUGGGAACUGCCUUUGAAACUGGCAAACUGGAGUGUGUGAGAGGAUAGUGGAAUUCCAGGUGUAGGAAUGAAAUCCGUAGAUAUCUGGAGGAACAUCAGUGGCGAAGGCGACUAUCUGGCACAUAACUGACGCUGAGGAGCGAAAGCGUGGGUAGCAAACAGGAUUAGAUACCCGUGUAGUC